CCUACGGGAGGCAGCAGUGGGGAAUUUUGGACAAUGGGCGCAAGCCUGAUCCAGCAAUGCCGCGUGAGUGAAGAAGGCCUUCGGGUUGUAAAGCUCUUUUGUCAGGGAAGAAACGGCCUGUUCUAAUACAGUGGGCUAAUGACGGUACCUGAAGAAUAAGCACCGGCUAACUACGUGCCAGCAGCCGCGGUAAUACGUAGGGUGCAAGCGUUAAUCGGAAUUACUGGGCGUAAAGCGUGCGCAGGCGGUUUUGUAAGUCUGUCGUGAAAUCCCCGGGCUCAACCUGGGAAUGGCGAUGGAGACUGCAAGGCUAGAGUUUGGCAGAGGGGGGUAGAAUUCCACGUGUAGCAGUGAAAUGCGUAGAUAUGUGGAGGAACACCGAUGGCGAAGGCAGCCCCCUGGGUCAAAACUGACGCUCAUGCACGAAAGCGUGGGGAGCAAACAGGAUUAGAUACCCUGGUAGUCCACGCCCUAAACGAUGUCUACUAGUUGUCGGGUCUUAAUUGACUUGGUAACGCAGCUAACGCGUGAAGUAGACCGCCUGGGGGAGUACGGUCGCAAGNUUAAAACUCAAAUGAAAUUGACGG
Molecule: ribosomal RNA, 587 nt
Filed under: uncultured bacterium
Lineage: Bacteria
Description: bacterial SSU rRNA
Rfam family: Bacterial small subunit ribosomal RNA
Source: RNAcentral